AUCUCCAUGGCCUAGUGGCUUAAGGCACUGGUAUUCUAAGCUAGGGACUAAGGUUCAAUUCCUGGAGAGA
RNAcentral lists this transfer RNA (70 nucleotides) under Strongylocentrotus purpuratus (purple sea urchin). It matches the Rfam family "tRNA". Rfam says of the family: Transfer RNA (tRNA) molecules are approximately 80 nucleotides in length. Their secondary structure includes four short double-helical elements and three loops (D, anti-codon, and T loops). The record is from Rfam by way of RNAcentral. Lineage: Eukaryota; Metazoa; Echinodermata; Echinoidea; Camarodonta; Strongylocentrotidae.